Molecule: long non-coding RNA, 110 nt
Organism: Etheostoma cragini (Arkansas darter)
Lineage: Eukaryota; Metazoa; Chordata; Actinopteri; Perciformes; Percidae
Exons: 3
Source: RefSeq, a predicted model, not a curated record
UUAAAGCUUUAGUGCGUAACUUUUUCUUAUAGUGAAUGUCCGUUACAUUCAAGCCAUUACCAACUGAGUUGCUACAAAGACUUUCAGCUCUAUACAAUUCUCUCUGUUUU